RNAcentral lists this ribosomal RNA (248 nucleotides) under uncultured Methanomicrobiales archaeon. RNAcentral describes it as "partial 16S ribosomal RNA". It matches the Rfam family "Archaeal small subunit ribosomal RNA", at positions 1094 to 1338 of the family's 1478-position model. Lineage: Archaea; Methanobacteriati; Methanobacteriota; Methanomicrobia; Methanomicrobiales. The record is from RNAcentral.
ACUGUUGGGAACCGCCUCUGCGUAAAGAGGAGGAAGGAAUGGGCAACGGUAGGUCAGCAUUGCCCCGAAUUAGUCUGGGCUACACGCGGGCUACAAUGGGUGGGACAAUGGGUAUCGACACCGAAAGGUGAAGGCAAUCUCCUAAACCCAUCCGUAGUUCGGAUUGUGGGCUGCAACUCGCCCACAUGAAGCUGGAAUCUGUAGUAAUCGUGUCUCAAAAUGGCACGGUGAAUAUGUCCCUGCUCCUU